ACUCUUGGCAACAGAUAUCUUGGCUCUCGCAUCGAUGAAGAACGUAGCGAAAUGCGAUACCUGGUGUGAAUUGCAGAAUCCCGCGAACCAUCGAGUCUUUGAAUGCAAGUUGCGCCCAAGGCAACACGGCCGAGGGCAUGCCUGCCUGGGCGUCACACCAAAACACACUCCCAACCACCCUCUUCGGGAGUCGGGAUGCGGCAUUUGGUCCCUUGUCUCACAAGGGGCGGUGGACCGAAGAUCGGGCUGCCGAUGUACUGCGCCAGAUACAGCGCAUGGUGGGCGUCCUCACUUUAUCAACGUAGUGCAUCCGACGCGCAGCCGGCAUUGUGGCCUCAGAAUGACCUAGCAAAUGAAGCGCACGUUGCUUCGACCACGACCCCAGGUCAGGCGGGACUACCCGCUGAGUUUAAGCAUAUAAAUAAGCGGAGGAGAAGAAACUUACAAGGAUUCCCCUAGUAAUGGCGAGCGAACCGGCAGUAGCCCAGCUUGAGAAUCGGGCGGCUGUGCCGUCCGAAUUAUAGUCUGGAGAGGCGUCCUCAGCGACGGACUGGGCCCAAGUCCCCUGGAAAGGGGCGCCUAGGAGGGUGAGAGCCCCGUCCGGCCCGGACCCUGUUGCCCCACGAGGCGCCGUCAACGAGUCUUGUUGUUUGGGAAUGCAGCCCAAAUCAGGCGGUAGACUCCGUCCAAGGCUAAAUACAGGCGAGAGACCGAUAGCGAACAAGUACCGCGAGGGAAGAUGAAAAGGACUUUGAAAAGAGAGUCUAAGAGUGCUUGAAAUUGCCGGGAGGGAAGCGGAUGGGGGCCGGCGAUGCGCCCCGGCCGUAUGCGAAACGGCUCUUGCUGGUCCGCCGCUUGGCUCGGGGUGUGGAUUGUUGUUGGUCGUGCCGGCGGCCAAAGCCCAGGGGGCCUUGGUGCCUCUGGUGGCCGUCGUCGGCACGGCCGGUACCCGCGCGCCGAAAGGCAUGUCCCUCGGGGCACUGCGCUGCAACGUCCUGCGGGCUCCCCAUCCGACCCGUCUUGAAACACGGAUCAAGGAGUCUGACAUGCGUGCGAGUCAACGGGUUCUGAAACCUGGGAUGCGCAAGGAAGCUGACGAGCGGGAGGCUCUCACGGCCCGCACCACUGGCCGAGCCUGAUCUUCUGUGAAGGGUUCGAGUUGGAGCACGCCUGUCGGGACCCAAAAGAUGGUGAACUAUGCCUGAGCGGGGCGAAGCCAGAGGAAACUUUGGUGGAGGCUCGAAGCGAUACUGACGUGCAAAUCAUUCAUCUGACUUGGGUAUAGGGGAGAAAGACUAAUCGAACCAUCUAGUAGCUGGUUCCCUCCGAAGUUUCCCUCAGGAUAGAUGGAGCCCAUUACGAGUUCUAUCAGGUAAAGCCAAUGAUUAGAGGCAUUGGGGACGCAACGUCCUCGACCUAUUCUCAAACUUUAAAUAGGUAGGAUGGCGCGGCUGCUUUGGUGAGCCGUACCAUGAAAUCGCGUGCUCCAAGUGGGACAUUUUUGGUAAGCAGAACUGGCGAUGCGGGAUGAACCGGAAGCCAGGUUACGAUGCCAAACUGCACGCUAACCUAGAACCCACAAAGGGUGUUGGUCGAUUAAGACAGCAGGACGGUGGUCAUGGAAGUCGAAAUCCGCUAAGGAGUGUGUAACAACUCACCCGCCGAAUCAACUGACCCGAAAAUGGAUGGCACUGAAGCGCACAACCCACACCCGGCCAUCUAGGCGAGCGCCAUGCCUCGAUGACUAGGAGAGCGCGGCGGCCGCUACAAAACCCGGGGCACGAGCCUGGGCGGAGCGGCCGUCGGUGCAGAUCUUGGUGGUAGUAGCAAAUAUUCAAAUGAGAACUUUGAAGGCCGAAGAGGAGAAAGGUUCCAUGUGAACGACACUUGCACAUGGGUAAGCCCAUCCUAAGGGACGGGGUCAUGGAGCCUGUGGCUUAAUUUGACUCAACACGGGGAAACUUACCAGGUCCAGACAUAGCAAGGAUUGACAGACUGAGAGCUCUUUCUUGAUUCUAUGGGUGGUGGUGCAUGGCCGUUCUUAGUUGGUGGAGCGAUUUGUCUGGUUAAUUUAAUGAACGAGACCUCAGCCUGCUAACUAGCUAUGUGGAGCCAUCGCUCCGCAGCUAGCUUCUUAGAGGGACUAUCGCCGUUUAGGCGACGGAAGUUUGAGGCAAUAACAGGUCUGUGAUGCCCUUAGAUGUUCUGGGCUGCACGCGCGCUUCACUGAUGUAUUCAACGAGUAUAUAGCCUUGGCCGGCAGGCCCGGGUAAUCUUGGCAAAUUUCAUCGUGAUGGGGAUAGAUCAUUGCAAUUGUUGGUCUUCAACAAGGAAUGCCUAGUAAGUGUGAGUCAUCAGCUCGCGUUGACUAUGUCCCUGCCCUUUGUACACACCUCCCAUCGCUCCUACUGAUUGAAUGGUCCGGUGAAGUCUUCAGAUCGCUGCGACGGGGGCGGUUCGCUGCCCCCGACGUCGCGAGAAGUCCAUUGAAUCUUAUCAUUUAGAGGAAGGAGAAGUCGUAACAAGGUCUCCGUAGGUGAACCUGCGGAAGGAUCAUUGUCGUGACCUUGACCAAAAUAGACCGCGCACGCGUCAUCCAAUAUGUCGGCGAUGGCACCGUCUGUCGCUCGGACAAUGCCUCGACCACCUCCCCUCCUUGGAGCGGGUGGGGGCUCGGGGUAAAAGAGCCCACGACACCGAAGGCAUCAAGGAACACUGUGCCUAACCCAGGGGCAUGGCUAGCUUGCUAGCCGUCCCUCGUGU
This 2763-nucleotide ribosomal RNA is filed under the name Triticum aestivum (bread wheat). Its description in RNAcentral is "eukaryotic LSU rRNA". The stretch from base 400 to 2151 matches the Rfam family "Eukaryotic large subunit ribosomal RNA", at positions 24 to 1888 of the family's 3401-position model. The record is from RNAcentral. Lineage: Eukaryota; Viridiplantae; Streptophyta; Magnoliopsida; Poales; Poaceae.